This 319-nucleotide ribosomal RNA is filed under the name Klebsiella pneumoniae. RNAcentral's name for it is "partial 23S ribosomal RNA". It matches the Rfam family "Bacterial large subunit ribosomal RNA", at positions 1496 to 1796 of the family's 2925-position model. The record is from RNAcentral. Lineage: Bacteria; Pseudomonadati; Pseudomonadota; Gammaproteobacteria; Enterobacterales; Enterobacteriaceae.
CGACGGUUGUCCCGGUUUAAGCAUGUAGGCUGGUUGUCCAGGCAAAUCCGGAUAAUCAAGGCUGAGGUGUGAUGACGAGGCACUACGGUGCUGAAGUAACAAAUGCCCUGCUUCCAGGAAAAGCCUCUAAGCAUCAGGUAACAUCAAAUCGUACCCCAAACCGACACAGGUGGUCAGGUAGAGAAUACCAAGGCGCUUGAGAGAACUCGGGUGAAGGAACUAGGCAAAAUGGUGCCGUAACUUCGGGAGAAGGCACGCUGGUGUGUAGGUGAAGUCCCUGCGGAUGGAGCUGAGACCAGUCGAAGAUACCAGCUGGCUG